This 497-nucleotide ribosomal RNA is filed under the name uncultured bacterium. Its description in RNAcentral is "partial 16S ribosomal RNA". It matches the Rfam family "Bacterial small subunit ribosomal RNA", at positions 28 to 507 of the family's 1533-position model. The record is from RNAcentral.
GAUGAACGCUGGCGGCGUGCCUAAUACAUGCAAGUCGAGCGAACGGACGAGAAGCUUGCUUCUCUGAUGUUAGCGGCGGACGGGUGAGUAACACGUGGAUAACCUACCUAUAAGACUGGGAUAACUUCGGGAAACCGGAGCUAAUACCGGAUAAUAUUUUGAACCGCAUGGUUCAAAAGUGAAAGACGGUCUUGCUGUCACUUAUAGAUGGAUCCGCGCUGCAUUAGCUAGUUGGUAAGGUAACGGCUUACCAAGGCAACGAUGCAUAGCCGACCUGAGAGGGUGAUCGGCCACACUGGAACUGAGACACGGUCCAGACUCCUACGGGAGGCAGCAGUAGGGAAUCGUCCGCAAUGGGCGAAAGCCUGACGGAGCAACGCCGCGUGAGUGAUGAAGGUCUUCGGAUCGUAAAACUCUGUUAUUAGGGAAGAACAUAUGUGUAAGUAACUGUGCACAUCUUGACGGUACCUAAUCAGAAAGCCACGGCUAACUACGUG